Long non-coding RNA from Rattus norvegicus (Norway rat), 5899 nucleotides. The record is from Ensembl. Lineage: Eukaryota; Metazoa; Chordata; Mammalia; Rodentia; Muridae.
AUCCCUGACAGCCAUCAGUUGUUGAAAAUAUGACAAUGGUCCUCAGGCUAAUCCAAGGCCACAUUUGAGAUGGUAGCCUGAGAAAAAUAGCCAGCGGUUCUAUCUUACCACUUUGUAUGUCAUCGAUGUAGAAACUCAAAAGACGCAUGUGUCUCUCCAAGUAAUGGGUCGAGGUUCUGUACACAGAGGAGUGUUUACAUUUAGCCUGUGCCUUCAGUGAUGCUGCAUUUCCCUGGCUUCCUGUUCAAGCUAUGCUGCCCACAGAACAUACAUGUCCAAGUCUCCUAGACUGUGCAGAAAUAGAAGACCCUUGGCUUUGAGUGUGUGCAAUGCUCUAGAACUUGUUGCCAUUUUUUCCAAGUGGCUUUGGACCCGGUUUGAGAGGCAAGCUCUGAUUAUGACCCAGCUGUGAUAAAUGUUAAUUCCAGUUCACAUAUGUGACAACGUUUACCUGGCAAAAACAGAUCUUUCCUUCCACUCAGAUCUCUGGUUCUCCAACUCAUGUGUUCAGUGUUAGCAAUUGGAUUUUUAGAGGAAUUUUCUUUGGACUAAGUUUUGGAAUAAAACACUCAGACAAGUUGGGAAGGAAAGAUGUGUACAUAGAAAGUCUAGGAAUUCCAUCCCCUUGGGCUCUUGGCCACUUAACAGGGAAAUAUCUGAAUGAAGCAGGGCAAGAGCUGUCUUUUGAGUGUGUAGAAUUGUGUACUCCUGAAGACACCAGCUUAGAUGCCUACCCUGUACCCUAGGAGAAUGUUCCACUGGUAAAGUGCUUGUCUUGUAAGUUUGAAGACCUGGGCUCAUUCCAUGUAGAGCCAAAGUUCUGGAGCCGAAAGACAGGGACAACCUGGGUCCUGCUAACUAGCCAGCCUAGCCUAUGUCUCAAAGUCCAAAGCGACACCGUACCUCAAAAUACAAGGUGAGGCCAUAGAAAUGGCUCAAUGGGUAAGAGUGCUUGCUACCAAGCAUUGUGAUCUAAAUUCAUCCUCAGAACCCACAUGAUAGGAAAACCCUAUCAUGCAAGCAGUCUUUCACACAUGUAGAGUGGCACUUGUUUCUCUCUCUCUCUCUCUCUCUCUCUCUCUCUCUCACACACACACACACACACACACACACACACACACACACACUCACCAUCUAAAGUAACCAUUUAAAGACUUGAGGUUCUGAGUUUGUGUGUCCCAGUCAACAAAAAGGACUGCAUGUUAGGGACACAGAAAUGAGACUAGUGCCUGCUUUUAAAAAGUAUCAAAAUCCUGAGGACAAAUGGUAGGCAGCCACACAAAGAGGCACGAGUGAGAAUCAGAAGAACAAAGCCAGCGAGAGCCCCAGAUGAUCUAAGGUGCAAAGCUGGCCAGCAGUGUCUCCUUCCAUGUCUUUUCAACAUACCUACCUGUAGUGGAAAGCCUGUCAGGGCCAUGUUGGUGCUUAUAACCCUGAAUCUUCAGUUUUACAUUUAUCCUUUGACAUUUGCAAUAUCCUAGUGCGUUUGCAAUAUGUAUCCUCUGCUGUGGUUCAGAGUGCUGUCCCAGAAAUUUCAUCGGGCAUAAGAAGUCUCCUGUUAAAGGGCUUCUCAGUGAGUUGCACAAUUUGCGGAGGUUUUAACUUUUCCUUCUGGCCUCAGAAGAGAUGAGGAAUGCAGGACAUCAGGUGCUCUGAUGGCUUAUUUGUUAAACAAAUAUUUAUUGAGCAACUUGUAUCUACUUGACAUUGGUUAGGAGACCAAGCAGACGGAUACAAUGUUAGGGGCUCUACCUUCCUAGAGUUCACCUUCUGCAGGAGGCAGACAGACACAAUGUUGGGGGAGCAGACAGAAGGAUACAAUGUUGGGGGCAGGCAGAAGCAUACAAUGUUGGAGGACAGGCAGAAGGAUACAAUGUUGGGGGACUCCACCUUUGUAGAGUUCACCUUCUGGGGGGAAAGGCAUGAAGUGAAGAAGAAGCUGUCAGAGUUACAGGAAAUAAAAGAAUCAAGCAGUGCAUUGCAGGAGGAGGAAGUGUGUACCCCCGAAGGCUGAGGAGGAGGGGGUACCAGGCAGACCUGUAACAGGGGACAGGCCCCCUAGGCAAGGGUCUGGCAAGUUCAAACACAGGAUGAUUCAGAAGACACCCUGAAGAUCAAAAGGAAGAAUAGCAGCAGUUGAGACUGGAGGAGGCCCAACACAAUGUGGGGCUUUGGGGACAAUGGAGAGCCACUGUGAGUUAUGAAUAUUGGGGUUCCCAGUGAGAGCCACUCUCAGCCACCAUCUGCUCUGACCUCAUCAGCACCAGCUUCUCUGCAAAGUCAAAACAAGUGUUCAGAGAGCAUCAGCUUUUAUUUCUACAGUAAUCUUUGUACCCAACCACCAUAGCGUUUUUAAUAACAAACUGGCAGAGAGUCAGACAUCUGUACUUGAAAAAAAAAAGCCAGGCCAAGUAUUUCUAAAUGUUUUAUAUUUACUUGUAACGUUAGAAUAACCACGAGGUUGCUUUCUAAAUAAUCGGAACCAUUCUCAUUAGGGUCCCACAGACCUCGUCCUUCGUGGGUUUGGGUGGUGGUUUUCAUUAUGGCAGUGACAUUGAUCUGACGGGAGUGAAUCUCUCCUUGAACAUUUGUGGAAAAAAAAUGGGGAAGAAGUUGAGAGGAGCCAAAGCAAGCUAGGAAAAUGAGAACUCAGGAAAGAUAACCAUCAGCUUGGCACUGGGGUAGCAUCGAAGGGGUCCAGGCUUUGAAGUCCAACAAAGCUGGGCUGGCAGUGGAGUUCAGCGAGGCAACCUUAGGGGAGUCACUUGACAUCUCUGAGCUUCAGGUCACUCCCUGGCCCUAGUUUGUGCAAUUGUGCUGAGGGCCAAGAAGGGUAUCACCAGCGAAGGGUCUGAGCCAAUUUUGCUCCCUGAUUGCAACCUCCAAAAUUACUGUCUCCACUAAGUUGUACUUGAAGUUUGUCUGCAAGUUCUAAUAGAUAAAAUACAAGAUUCCCAGUUAACCUUAAAUUUUGGAUUGUAGCCAGCAAUUAGUGUAAUCCGUUCCUAUUUGGUAUAUUGCUUAGAAUAUACUUGGAGUCGUAAAAAUAUGUACGCACACCUAUCAAAAAUUUAAACUUGACUGGGUGCUUUGUCUGGAGACCUUUUUUCUAAAAGUUUAAUUAUCAAAAGAACAUCUAUCUGGAGUGGCUUUUGAGAGCUGGCCCAGGCCAGCCAUGAGCCAGGCCCCUGUGUCAGGAACACUUUAAAGCACAGACUCCAUUUGUAGAACAGACCUGACUUUGAGUAGAGGCUCUGGCAAGACGGAGCCGGAAAGCAGCUAAAGAGCUUGCGGCAAUCCCAUUUGGUCUGCUCUGUAGACACACCACACAGAGGCAAAUAACCAAAGAACCUCAACCUAGUCAGAUUGCUCCAGAAUAAACCAGGUUUAUCUAUUCAGAAUCCAGGUUUAUCUAGCAUCCUCUGUGGCCAAUGGGAAGCCAGGUCUGUGAGCCCGGGCUGUGAAUCUUUCUAAAUAACACAAACUGCAGGGUUAUAUACCACCUACUUAUUUUAUGCCUUGUCAGAAAAGGAGGUUAAACUCCCUAAACCUUCCUCCCGGCCCAUGGAUGCCAUGAUGGCGAAGUUGGGAGUUAUGCAUGGCUUGGCACACACUGAGGGAAACCGCUGAGGAAGGGAGGGGAAGUCAGGCCUGGUCCCUGAUCACAUCCCUGCAAGCUUCGAGAGACUCCCGAGGACGUCCCAGGAGACUUAGGCUGGGCUUAUAAAGAAGGAUCUUGACAUCAAGAAGAGCAGCCAGCCAGUAAAUUCCUACUUACUUCAUUUUCUAAGGCUUCUGAAUGUGUUUUGAAUUUUCUCUAAAUUAAGAUAAUCAUGAAAGGUUAAGAUAUUUCAACAGAGUGCCACCUGAUCCGAGGGCUUGAAUUGUAUGCCUAAUUAGUUCCUGUGCAUACGGCUCAGAAUGUCUUAUAAAAACAGGGUAAUGACUUGAGGUAUAUUUGGGUAUUAGAUGGGGCAAUGUUAAAGGAACAUUCAAACCCAUCUCAAAGCCUUGAACCUGCCCUUGAUCUGGGCUGGGAGCUUUGGCUGACAUCUGUUUCAAGGAGAUACAAAAGAAAGAGAAAAGGUAAAAAAGGAAGAAAGAAAGAAAGAGAGAAAGGAAGAAAGAAAGAAAGAAAGAAAGGAAGGAAGGAAGAAAGAGAAGGAAGGAAUCAAAGGAAAACAAUGGCUUUACAAACUCGUACCCAGAUAGACAUCCGGCAUUAAAAUACUUCAAAUUCAGCACAACUGGAGGAACGUGUGGUCUGGGAAUAGGAGUUGGGGACAGUGAAGAGGAACUUAUGUCAGGAUACACAGAUACCCUUAGAACUGCUGGAGAAAUAGGCCUUACUGUGUCCAGGGAGGGAUCGAAUAGGUCAUAAAUGUCCCAGUGACUUUCGUUCCUGUCUUGUGCUUCAGUUCCCAGCACCCCAUCAUGUAUACCUGUGUGGAACCUGAUCCGUGUCAGAGACACUCCUCCUACAACCCUGCUCCCAUGGGAUCCCAACUGCCAUACUCCACUCUGGGAAGGUACUUUCUGAGACUCCCCAGGAGGAGUGCCGUGCUACAUGAACAUCCCUAGGCCCCUCCCUAGCUGCCUUCUCCAUUUUUGCAGCCAAACUCCUCUUCUCUAGGUGCUCUACGUCUACUCUGUAAUAUUGGCCGCAUGUUGAAAAUGGCUGCCCGGGACUGGGGAUUUAGCUCAGUUGGUAGAGUGCUUAGCCUGCACCAAACCCUGGGUUCACUCCUCAGCACGAGGCACUCACAUAGACCUGCUGUGGUGGCAUAUGCCUAUAAUCCCAGAACUCAGGAGGUAGUUACAAGAGGAUCAUGAGUUCAGGGUCAUGCUUGGUUGUAUAGAAAUUAUAUGUUUUAGGCUAGCUUGGGCUACAUAAGGUCCUGUCACAACAAACAAACAAACAAACAAACAAACAAACAGAAAACCCAAGAGAAUAAGCAAUUGACAAAAAGAAAAGGAGGAAAGAAAUUGUGGAGGAAGGAGGGAUGGUGGAGGGAGAGAGAGAAAGAGAGAGAGAGAGAGAGAAAAUCAGCUAUUUACCAACUCAGAUCUUUAAAGAGAUCUCAGAGGCCUCUGCCUGUCCCUUUACACCUAUACUGCCUCAGGCCAUUCAUUCAUCUACUCCUUCUGUCCUUUGGCUAAGGGUCUCCUCAGCACCUGUUGGCUGGGUUUAUGAUCCACGGAAUACUGAACAGCUCCAGUGAGAGAGGAGUUUGAGGGCAGACCCCGGAAGGGGCAUCUGAGAGAUGGGAUACAUCAUACAUCACGACACAGUAAAUAUAAGAGGAAAAUGACUCUUCCAGAAGAGUCAACAGGGAAGCUUCUCCACACACACACAGUAUGUGCCAAGCUCUGAAUGGAAUACUGAUUAAGACAAUGGUGACUCAGGGUGACAAGGCCCUCCAGGAGAAUGAAAGAUAUGAACCAAACGCCGAAGAAAGGAAGCCACGGUGUGUGGUCCAAAAAUAACAAGUGGCUGUACAGCGUCCAACCAUCUACAGCUCACCUGCUCAUCUGGCCCUCGAGCAUUCCUGUCAGAUGAAGGUGUAGAGGCUGACUCAAAAAGACAAAGAUCCUGUCUUCAUGGGACCCAGCAAGGCUGCCUUGAAAGAAAUGCUCACAGGUCACCGUAAAACUCAAGGGAAGGACAAAAGAGACUGCAACGUGAGAUCAGCAUCUCAUUACUAAGCUGUGGUACAGAGCUCCCCAAUGUCCCCUUCAUGGUCUAGUGCUGCACAGCAUCAAUCAUAUCUCAGGCAAUGAACACCAUUCAUAUUUACUGCUGCACUGUUCAUAAUAGUUGAGAUCUGGGGCUAGCCCAGGGGUUCAUUACCAGAUGAAAGGAGAAAGAAAAUGCAGAAUGUUUGCAUGAUGACUGUAC